AGUGGCGGACGGGUGAGUAACGCGUGAGAAUCUGCCUUGGGGUCGGGGACAACCACUGGAAACGGUGGCUAAUACCGGAUAAGCCGAUUGGUGAAAGAUUUAUUGCCCGAAGAGGAGCUCGCGUCUGAUUAGCUAGUUGGUGAGGUAAGAGCUCACCAAGGCAGCGAUCAGUAGCUGGUCUGAGAGGACGAUCAGCCACACUGGGACUGAGACACGGCCCAGACUCCUACGGGAGGCAGCAGUGGGGAAUUUUCCGCAAUGGGCGAAAGCCUGACGGAGCAAGACCGCGUGAGGGAGGAAGGCUCUUGCGUUGUAAACCUCUUUUCUCAGGGAAGAAGCUCUGACGGUACCUGAGGAAUCAGCCUCGGCUAACUCCGUGCCAGCAGCCGCGGUAAUACGGAGGAGGCAAGCGUUAUCCGGAAUUAUUGGGCGUAAAGCGUCCGCAGGUGGCGAUUCAAGUCUGCUGUCAAAGCACGGGGCUUAACUCCGUAAAGGCAGUGGAAACUGAAUAGCUAGAGUGCCGUAGGGGUAGAGGGAAUUCCCGGUGUAGCGGUGAAAUGCGUAGAGAUCGGGAAGAACAUCGGUGGCGAAAGCGCUCUACUGGACGGCAACUGACACUCAGGGACGAAAGCUAGGGGAGCGAAUGGGAUUAGAUACCCC
Molecule: ribosomal RNA, 660 nt
Filed under: uncultured bacterium
Lineage: Bacteria
Description: bacterial SSU rRNA
Rfam family: Bacterial small subunit ribosomal RNA
Source: RNAcentral